AUUUAUAUAGUUUAAUAAAACAUUACAUUUUCAUUGUAAAAAUAAAAAAUUUUUUUUUAUAAAUU
Molecule: transfer RNA, 65 nt
Filed under: Syrphus torvus
Lineage: Eukaryota; Metazoa; Arthropoda; Insecta; Diptera; Syrphidae
Description: tRNA-Glu
Source: RNAcentral